UACGAAGGGUGCAAGCGUUACUCGGAAUUACUGGGCGUAAAGCGUGCGUAGGUGGUUUUUUAAGUCCGUUGUGAAAGCCCUGGGCUCAACCUGGGAAUGGCAGUGGAUACUGGAAAGCUAGAGUGCGGUAGAGGGUAGUGGAAUUCCCGGUGUAGCAGUGAAAUGCGUAGAGAUCGGGAGGAACACCAGUGGCGAAGGCGAGUCCCUGGACAACUCCUGACACUGAGGCACGAAAGCUAGGGGAGCAAACAGG
This 253-nucleotide ribosomal RNA is filed under the name uncultured bacterium. RNAcentral describes it as "partial 16S ribosomal RNA". It matches the Rfam family "Bacterial small subunit ribosomal RNA", at positions 524 to 776 of the family's 1533-position model. The record is from RNAcentral.